Gopherus evgoodei (Goodes thornscrub tortoise) is the source of this 755-nucleotide long non-coding RNA. RefSeq lists it as uncharacterized. The record is from RefSeq and is a predicted model, not a curated record. NCBI's taxonomy places the organism in Eukaryota, Metazoa, Chordata, Testudines, Testudinidae. The transcript is spliced from 5 exons.
AGGUAAUGAAAGAAGAGCUCCUGGUUUUAACCCCUCAGUCAAAUAAGUUCUGCUGGGGCGGAAUCUAGCAGAUAUUUGCAAGCUGAACAGUUUUAAAGUGUGUGAGAAUUGGAGACAAGUCCUGGAAGAAGUGGAUUGGAACAGCACGGCGAUCCACAAAGCCAAGUUAGACUCCAGGCUCCCUGUACAAUGAAUGUGGAGAAACAGGCAUCUUGGAAUGCCUCCUGGAGCCAGGGAGAGGAAGAGCUCUAGCUCUGGGGCCUUGAAAUGGCCCCUCCAAUUCAGGGUUGGGCCUAUUGGCAGGCUGCGGUGGGAAAUGAGGGCUGCGCUGUUCUCAUAAAGUACCUUCUCCGAAGACAGAAGGCUUCAGGCUCUCAGUGUCACCCCAUCUCAGAACCUGCAGGGAGCUGAUGUCUACGAUGAAAACAGCAGAAGGUGCUGAGUUGACGUUGGGUGAGAGACUGUGACAGCAGCUCUGCCAAAAAGGAUAGAAAGAACACGGAAAUAAAUGUCAUAGCACAGCUAGGACAAAUGCUUUUAUGUAAGAAGGCAUGGUACCUGGUACUUGUUUGCAUAUGUACAAAAUGCAGCUAAUGGCUGAUGUAAGCUGAUGAUUAGAAAGAACUGUAUUCAGAUGUUACUGCCUGAAGCGAAUGCCAGGGUCUUUAACAUUUAAACACAGUGAUGAAAAAAUAUAUAUUUUUUAUGUUCAAAGUCUUGGCAAUUUUAGGUGCAUAUUCAGUUUUCUGGGCAUG